This 527-nucleotide ribosomal RNA is filed under the name uncultured bacterium. Its description in RNAcentral is "bacterial SSU rRNA". It matches the Rfam family "Bacterial small subunit ribosomal RNA", at positions 355 to 896 of the family's 1533-position model. The record is from RNAcentral.
CUAAGAAUCUUGCGCAAUGGGCGAAAGCCUGACGCAGCAACGCCGCGUGGGGGAGGAAGGCCUUCGGGUCGUAAACCCCUUUUGCGAGGGAAGAAGUUCUGACGGUACCUCGCGAAUAAGUCACGGCUAACUACGUGCCAGCAGCCGCGGUAAUACGUAGGUGACAAACGUUGUCCGGAUUUAUUGGGCGUAAAGAGCCCGCAGGCGGCUUGACAAGUUUCAGGUGAAAUCUCCCGGCUCAACUGGGAGGGGUCUUGGAAAACUGUCAGGCUUGAGGCAGGAAGGGGGAUGCGGAAUUCCGUGUGUAGCGGUGAAAUGCGUAGAUAUACGGAGGAACACCAGCGGCGAAGGCGGCAUCCUGGUCCUGACCUGACGCUCAGGGGCGAAAGCGUGGGGAGCAAACCGGAUUAGAUACCCGGGUAGUCCACGCUGUAAACGAUGAGUACUAGGAGUUGGGGGUAUCGACCCCCUCAGUUCCGAAACUAACGCGAUAAGUACUCCGCCUGGGGACUACGGCCGCAAGGCUA